RNAcentral lists this ribosomal RNA (274 nucleotides) under uncultured bacterium. RNAcentral's name for it is "partial 16S ribosomal RNA". It matches the Rfam family "Bacterial small subunit ribosomal RNA", at positions 523 to 796 of the family's 1533-position model. The record is from RNAcentral.
CUACGAAGGGGGCUAGCGUUGUUCGGAAUCACUGGGCGUAAAGCGCACGUAGGUGGACUAAUUAGUUGAGGGUGAAAUCCCGGGGCUUAACCUCGGAACUGCCUUCAAUACUGUUAGUCUUGAGUCCGAGAGAGGUGAGUGGAGUUCCUAGUGUAGAGGUGAAAUUCGUAGAUAUUAGGAAGAACACCAGUGGCGAAGGCGGCUCACUGGCUCGGUACUGACGCUGAGGUGCGAAAGCGUGGGGAGCAAACAGGAUUAGAAACCCCUGUAGUCC